GAAAGUUCUUUCAUACUGAUUUUCAGAUCUGUGGCUGAUACUGACCAUGUGAAUCUGCAUAUUUCACAGUUCUGGAGCGGGCAGGCACUCUUAUCUGGAAUUUAAGUGUAUAAUGAAGCAGUUCUACUCCAACCAGGACCAAGGUUCGAACAGUACUGUCCAGCAUGCUCUGAGCUUGAGAGUGUGGGAUCUCAAGAUGGAGAUCUUGCCAUGUUUCCCAGGCUGGUCUAGAACUCCAGGCCUCACGCAAUCCUCCCGCGUCCUUCCAAGGUGAUGGGAUUACAGGCUUGAGCCACUGGGCCCCGCGUUCUCAUUCUUCAGAACCCUACUGCAACAUCAUGCCCCCUGGGAAGUUUUCCCACCUGCUCUGUUGUUCUGCACUUAGUGUUCCCUUCUGUCUAUUGUAUUUUUAAUAUACUUCAACUCAUUUCUUCUUGCUGUAUAUUAAAAAUUCUUAUAUAAAAUAGUUCCUAUAUUAAAAUAUUUUUAUGAAUGGCUUCUUCAUAAGAUGGUGAGGGGAGGAUGUUAUUUCUAUGUAUUUAUGGAUGAUAACAUAGAGGUGAGGGAAAUGGGUAAAAACAGAGUCAAUAAGUUUUAGAGCAUGAGUUUGAAACUAGAUGUUCCAUCUCAAAGUCAGGCUCUGUCUACUCCACAGCAUGGCUUUUCAUAAGAUGCUAUGAUGCUUGGUUUCACGAAAUAUUACAAGUAUCGCUAUUGUUUUGGUUUGUUAAAACAAUGGUAAUGAUAAUUUUUGAGACAAAUUCUAAUGGCCUGCAUGUAUUAAGUAUUUAUAGUAUGCUAGGCAAUGUUCUGAAAGAGUUAGAUGUAUUAAUUCACUUAAUCCUCAUAACAACCCUAUAAGAGAAG
Molecule: long non-coding RNA, 867 nt
Filed under: Homo sapiens (human)
Lineage: Eukaryota; Metazoa; Chordata; Mammalia; Primates; Hominidae
Description: HSALNT0345342
Source: RNAcentral